This 449-nucleotide ribosomal RNA is filed under the name uncultured bacterium. RNAcentral describes it as "partial 16S ribosomal RNA". It matches the Rfam family "Bacterial small subunit ribosomal RNA", at positions 29 to 523 of the family's 1533-position model. The record is from RNAcentral.
AAUGAACGCUGGCGGCAGGCCUAACACAUGCAAGUCGAACGGAUCCUUCGGGAUUAGUGGCGGACGGGUGAGUAACGCGUGGGAACAUACCCUUUGGUACGGAAUAGCCUCAGGAAACUGGGAGUAAUACCGUAUGUGGUCGAGAGACGAAAGAUUUAUCGCCAAAGGAUUGGCCCGCGUUGGAUUAGGGAGUUGGUGGGGUAAUGGCCUACCAAGCCGACGAUCCAUAGCUGGUUUGAGAGGAUGAUCAGCCACACUGGGACUGAGACACGGCCCAGACUCCUACGGGAGGCAGCAGUGGGGAAUCUUAGACAAUGGGGGAAACCCUGAUCUAGCCAUGCCGCGUGAUCGAUGAAGGCCUUAGGGUUGUAAAGAUCUUUCAGGUGGGAAGAUAAUGACUGUACCACCAGAAGAAGCCCCGGCUAACUCCGUGCCAGCCGCCGCUGUAA